Molecule: ribosomal RNA, 457 nt
Filed under: Salmonella enterica subsp. enterica serovar Agona
Lineage: Bacteria; Pseudomonadati; Pseudomonadota; Gammaproteobacteria; Enterobacterales; Enterobacteriaceae
Description: bacterial SSU rRNA
Rfam family: Bacterial small subunit ribosomal RNA
Source: RNAcentral
GCUCGUGUUGUGAAAUGUUGGGUUAAGUCCCGCAACGAGCGCAACCCUUAUCCUUUGUUGCCAGCGAUUCGGUCGGGAACUCAAAGGAGACUGCCAGUGAUAAACUGGAGGAAGGUGGGGAUGACGUCAAGUCAUCAUGGCCCUUACGACCAGGGCUACACACGUGCUACAAUGGCGCAUACAAAGAGAAGCGACCUCGCGAGAGCAAGCGGACCUCAUAAAGUGCGUCGUAGUCCGGAUUGGAGUCUGCAACUCGACUCCAUGAAGUCGGAAUCGCUAGUAAUCGUGGAUCAGAAUGCCACGGUGAAUACGUUCCCGGGCCUUGUACACACCGCCCGUCACACCAUGGGAGUGGGUUGCAAAAGAAGUAGGUAGCUUAACCUUCGGGAGGGCGCUUACCACUUUGUGAUUCAUGACUGGGGUGAAGUCGUAACAAGGUAACCGUAGGGGAACCUGC